RNAcentral lists this ribosomal RNA (406 nucleotides) under uncultured bacterium. Its description in RNAcentral is "partial 16S ribosomal RNA". It matches the Rfam family "Bacterial small subunit ribosomal RNA", at positions 30 to 526 of the family's 1533-position model. The record is from RNAcentral.
AUUGAACGCUGGCGGCAGGCCUAACACAUGCAAGUCGAACGAGUGGCGGACGGGUGAGUAAUGUCUGGGAAACUGCCUGAUGGAGGGGGAUAACUACUGGAAACGGUAGCUAAUACCGCAUACCACAGGAUGUGCCCAGAAGGGAUUAGCUUGUGGGUGGGGUAAAGGCUCACCAAGGCGACGAUCCCUAGCUGGUCUGAGAGGAUGACCAGCCACACUGGCACGGAGACACGGUCCCAACUCCUACGGAAGGCAGCAGUGGGGAAUAUAGCACAAGGGACGCAAGCCUGAUGCGGCCAUGCCGCGUGUAUGAAGAAGGCCUUCGGGUUGUAAAGUACUUUCAGCGGGGAGGCGUUACCCGCAGAAGAAGCACCUGCUAACUCCGUGCCAGCAGCCGCGGUAAUUC